This 96-nucleotide transfer RNA is filed under the name Agrococcus baldri. RNAcentral's name for it is "tRNA-Arg". Lineage: Bacteria; Bacillati; Actinomycetota; Actinomycetes; Micrococcales; Microbacteriaceae. The record is from RNAcentral.
UCGGGCUUCGCCGAGAUCGGCGGCGACGGCGCUGAGCGUCAGCGCGAGCUGUCGGAGAGCGCUCGUGCCGCGCAGAUCGUGCUCUGCGGCCCGAAC